AAGUCGUAACAAGGUCUCCGUAGGUGAACCUGCGGAGGGAUCAUUACUGAGUUACACUCAAACCCUGUUUAAGAAUCUGUUGCUUCGGAGGCGCCCCUCGGGAGGGGAUUUGCUUCGGCCGCCUCCAAAAGCACCUUUACUCUUAACUCUGAUUUAUUUCUAUUCAAUUCCAAAAAAAAAUCAAAACCUCAACAACGGAUCUCUUGGUUACA
This 212-nucleotide unclassified non-coding RNA is filed under the name fungal sp. Its description in RNAcentral is "partial internal transcribed spacer region". The stretch from base 1 to 46 matches the Rfam family "Eukaryotic small subunit ribosomal RNA", at positions 1786 to 1831 of the family's 1831-position model. Lineage: Eukaryota; Fungi. The record is from RNAcentral.